CUCGUAGUUGGAUCCGGGCAGUCGACGCGCGGUGCGCCGUAAGGUGUUACUGCGUGCUUGUCGCCACUAUCCGGCCUUGUCUUUCAUGUUCUUCACUGAGCGUGAUCGGCGACCGGGACGUUUACUUUGAAAAAAUUAGAGUGCUUAAAGCAGGCAUACGGCCUUGCAUAAUGGUGCAUGGAAUAAUGGAAUAGGACCUCGGUUCUAUUUUGUUGGUUUUCGGAGCUCGAGGUAAUGAUUAAGAGGAACAGACGGGGACAUUCGUAUUGCGGCGUUAGAGGUGAAAUUCUUGGAUCGUCGCAAGACGAACUACUGCGAAAGCAUUUGUCAAGAAUGUUUUCAUUAAUCAAGAACGAAAGUUAGAGGUUCGAAGGCGAUCAGAUACCGCCCUAGUUCUAACCAUAAACGAUGCCAACCAGCGAUCCGUCGGUGUUCAUUCAAUGACUCGACGGGCAGCUUCCGGGAAACCAAAGUGCUUAGGUUCCGGGGGAAGUAUGGUUGCAAAGCUGAAACUUAAAGGAAUUGACGGAAGGGCACCACCAGGAGUGGAGCCUGCGGCUUAAUUUGACUCAACACGGGAAAACUUACCCGGCCCGGACACUGUAAGGAUUGACAGAUUGAGAGCUCUUUCUUGAUUCGGUGGUUGGUGGUGCAUGGCCGUUCUUAGUUGGUGGAGCGAUUUGUCUGGUUAAUUCCGAUAACGAACGAGACUCUAGCCUGCUAAAUAGCCGGCCGAUCUUAAGGUCGGUCGCUAUACGCUUCUUAGAGGGACAGGCGACCUUUAGUCGCACGAGAUUGAGCAAUAACAGGUCUGUGAUGCC
RNAcentral lists this ribosomal RNA (821 nucleotides) under uncultured eukaryote. RNAcentral describes it as "SSU rRNA". It matches the Rfam family "Eukaryotic small subunit ribosomal RNA", at positions 627 to 1471 of the family's 1831-position model. The record is from RNAcentral.